Vittaforma corneae ATCC 50505 is the source of this 72-nucleotide transfer RNA. It matches the Rfam family "tRNA". From Rfam's summary of the family: Transfer RNA (tRNA) molecules are approximately 80 nucleotides in length. Their secondary structure includes four short double-helical elements and three loops (D, anti-codon, and T loops). The record is from Rfam. NCBI's taxonomy places the organism in Eukaryota, Fungi, Microsporidia, Nosematidae.
UCCCGGUUGGUCCAGUGGUUAGGAUCCCAGAUUUUCACUCUGGGGGCCGGGGUUCGAUUCCCCGACUGGGAA